Long non-coding RNA from Puntigrus tetrazona (Sumatra barb), 3588 nucleotides. RefSeq lists it as uncharacterized. NCBI's taxonomy places the organism in Eukaryota, Metazoa, Chordata, Actinopteri, Cypriniformes, Cyprinidae. The record is from RefSeq and is a predicted model, not a curated record. The transcript has 8 exons.
CACAAUUAUGUAUGCAUAUACAAAAAAAGACCCUAACCAUCAAAGAAAUGUUAGAAAGUCUAGAAAACUUACUGUAAUGGAGCAGAACCUGUGGCCUUCACUCCUGUGGAGCUAAGUGCUUUGAUUUUGAAGAAUUUUGGUAACCAAGUUCCGGUCCUCAUUACGAAUUCAUGUUUUUUUAUGUUCCUCCAAAGAAAAAAAGAAAUACGUGUUUGGAACAAUGUGAGGUCGAAAUGAGCUUCACACACGCCGAACAGCUGCAGACGAGACUCGACGCCAUCCAGAAUGCAGCUCCCUCGUGAUGUAACAGAUGCAAAACAAAGCAAAAAUGAUUUGGCUGAGCCACGGGAGACCCAGACUGGCCCUCCGGGGCUUUUGUGGGCAGAUUGCGAGAUAACACAGUACAACUUUUCAGACAGUACUUCACGAGGAUCUGCCUGUCCAAUCAUAAACAGCAGUCCAUCAAAACUAACAAGGCGUGUUUUCAUCAUUCUAGACUGGUGGUGCUCAACCAAAGGGCUGGAGCCCAUUGCAUGGAAAAUCACAUGGGAAUGGUCAGAUGUUCUUAUUCUACUGCUUCAGCAUCCAGUGGUUGCAUGCGGUCACAUGUUGGGUUCAACCGCACACGCUCCGGAGCAGCUGUCUUACACGCGCUCUGCGGCUCUGCUCCUGACAAACGCUCAGUGACCAUUGAUACAGUGAAUGUUCAAGUAUCUGUGGCAUGCAGCCUGCCCUCGACCCCUCAGGCACGAGCGCACACACUUUACAAUGAAUGGGUGCCGUCAGGAUGAGAGCCCAAACAGCUGUUAAAAACACCACGAUAAUCCACGCAACUCAAGUCUAUCAGUUAUCAGUUGUUUUUAUAAGAAACAAAUCCACCGUCAAGAUAUUUUUGAUGUCAAAAAAUGUCUCCAAAUCAGUUGCAAUGAAGAAACAAAUGCAUCUACAUCUCGGAUGGCCUGAAGGUGAGUGAAUUUUCAGCAAAUGUUCAAUUUUGGCUAAACUAUACCUUUAAGAAUCAAUACUGUAAAAGAUUUUUGUAUUAAAGGUGCAGUAUACCUUUACAAUACAUUUACUAAAUUUCAUGCCAUUCCAUAUCUGUAAAUGAUUUUAUUUAUUUAUUAUUUAUUCUGUUAAACACACAUUUAUGUAUUUUGAAGAAUGUUGGCGACCAAAAAAGUAUAAAAAAAUAGUAAAAUGAUAUAAAAAAAUUAAGUCAAAGGCUACCAUCAACUUUUACAAAACGUUUGCAAAAAACCUUCAAAUGUUCUUCAAAGGUUUGGAGCAACAUGAGGGUGAGUAAAAACCAUCCUUUAAACAUUGACAUACAUCUAAUAACAUCUAACCUUCACAUUAGGUUUUGCAUGGGUUACGACUAUUUAUAUUGUCAAAUCUAUUUUAUUUUAUUUUAUUUUAUUUCUUUUUAGGUAAGGGAAACAUGUUUGGCUCCUAGGAGUACUGGCAUGGAUUUGAAUAAUCACUUUGGAAAUCCUAAGGGCUUAAAUCACUGGGACACGGCAUCAGGAUAUGAUAACAUUUCCGCCAAAACCCUUGAGGUAUUCGACCAAUCACAACACACUGGAUAACUGUCCAAUCAGAGCACACCUCGCUUUUUUUGAGCGAUGAGCGAAUCGGCCCGUUUCAGGAAGGAGAUGCGAAAAGGAGAAAUAAAAAUGUACAGCAUGUGGAAAAUAAUUGUUUUUUUGAACUUUAAAUCGCAUAAACACAUUGCAUUAUCCCAUAUACACAAAAUAAUGUUCUUUUUAGCAACAUCACAAUCCCUUAAAUUAAAAAGCCACAGCAAAGAAAAACAAAUACUAUUGGAUGCAGUGGAUGCCAGCAACAUUUGGCUAGCUGCAUAUUGUCUGUUGUGUUCAAUAGAAGAAAGUAAAUGAUGACCUUUUUAGUGAAUUAUCCCUUUAAGGAAAGCAUAACCUCUUAAAGUUUGUAGGUGAUCUGCCUUCAGGGACUCAAGUGUAAACAGUGAAAGUGGGAGGCUGAGAACAUUUUGUACAUGAACUGAAUGAAUAGGAAUAACAGUUUCAACAUUGUGUCUAAGAUUUGAAAAGUCAGCAGGACAUCUCUUCCUGCGUCAACCGCAAACAAGUUCCCAAAACCCCUCUGAAACCAGCCUGGCCAGAUGCACGUGUGUGGCAUUAAAUAUGGAACUAAAACAGCACAGAGAGCACAGAAAACAUCACCCACCUGAUACUUUCUUUGUAGAUUAUUUUUCUACCGUUGAAGAAGGAGGUGGAAAAAUCGUGACCCAAACAGAACCUCAAACAGCCCUUCACUUUCAAAGGUUUCAGGACGUUUUUGAAAGGACCGCUGUCUAUGUAACCCCUCAAAACCUCUGACAGUAGAGGAAGUGACUUCAGCGGCACCAGUUAGUAAGCUCUCUUGGUUUUCAGUGACCAAACAUACCUUCACAGGCUCUGAUUGUUCUAUGGUCCAAAACAAGCUAAUUUGAAACCGGGAAAAUCAGGUAAUUCUUUCAUAAAUAUCACAGCAUUUCCAACACUGAGUCUGCACUCAUGUGAACUCAAAUAGUCUUUUGGUGGGAAGAACUGGAGGUGUUCCUCUCAGAUUCCUCUGAACACUAGUGUCCACAAGCGUUAUAUGGUGAUUGCAGCUUGGCAAACAUGAGGACAAUACUCAGUAUUCUUCCUGCGACCAUGUGCUCUCCACAUGUGACAUCAUGCCCACAAAACACAAAAAGACUUCAUUCAGAAAGCUUGAUGUCAAAUAGUGGCUAUUUCACUUAACUGAAUGAUUGUUCAAACAGACCAAGUGUAAGAUCCAGCCCUAAGGGAAACACAGUCAGCCUCUCUGUAAGCAGUCAAUAAAGGGUCAGAUGUGUUAGAGAGGAGUAUGGCACUGGAUCAAGUAGCAGAUGUUCACAGGGAACACACAUAAUGCAUGCACACCUUGAAUUCUCUGCAAGUCACUUUGGAUAAAACCCACAAAUGUAAAUGUAGUCACACGUUAUUUUGAGAUCCAGUUCUUGCUAUUAACAAACUAUUAACGUUUGCCUCAAUAAACUCAAUAAAUAGUUAAGGUUACUUAUUGGGUAGCUUUAGGAAUGUAGAAUAUGGUCAUGCAGAAUUUCUGCGAUAUAAGCGCAAAUAGACAACAAAUAUGUUAAUAAUAGGCACUUUAAUAAGCAAAUAGGUAAUUGUCAGAAUUGGUUCCUGUACUAGUGUUACCAUAAAUUUAGAACUCUAUUCCAAAACCUACACUACAAAAUAAUAAAAAGACAAUGACUUAAAAAAAAAACAUAUAUAUAAAAAAAACACCAACCACAAUAAAAUACAUUUAUUUAAGAAACAACACUGCGUAAGAAUGAGGACAUUUUUUUAAAAAAAACAAAAUUAUGUAUUAGUGGAGUUUUUUUGUACUACAUACAAUUCAGAUAAUCUUUUCUUCUCUAUUGUGACGUAUAUUCGAGUGAAGUCAGACUUGACUUUGACCUAACAUAGUUGGGACAUGUCAGGAAUUAAUGGGAUUACUGUCUUUUGCUAACUGAUGUGAUCUUACGAGUGACAGUUUGCUGAAGGUGAGUUAAAAUAAGUCUUACGUGACUUGUUU